RNAcentral lists this ribosomal RNA (407 nucleotides) under uncultured bacterium. RNAcentral's name for it is "partial 16S ribosomal RNA". It matches the Rfam family "Bacterial small subunit ribosomal RNA", at positions 30 to 526 of the family's 1533-position model. The record is from RNAcentral.
AUUGAACGCUGGCGGCAGGCCUAACACAUGCAAGUCGAGCGGAGCGGCGGACGGGGGAGUAAUGCCUAGGAAUCAGCCUGGUAGUGGGGGAUAACGUACGGAAACGGGCGCUAAUACAGCAUCCUAUCAGAUGAGCCUAGGUCGGAUUAGCUAGUUGGGGGGGUAAAGGACUACCCAGGCGACGAUCCGUAACUGGGCUGAGAGGAUGAUCGGUCACACUGGAACGGAACCACGGUCCAGACGCCUACGGGAGGCAGCAGUGGGGAAUAUUGGACAAUGGGCGAAAGCCUGAUCCAGCCAUGCCGCGUGUGUGAAGAAGGUCUUCGGAUUGUAAAGCACGUUCAGUUGGGAGGCGUUACCAACAGAAUAAGCACCGGCUAACUUCGUGCCAGCAGCCGCGGUAAUUC